GAUGAACGCUGGCGGCAUGCUUUACACAUGCAAGUCGGACGGGAAGUGGUGUUUCCAGUGGCGGGCGGGUGAGUAACGCGUAAGAACCUGCCCUUGGGAGGGGAACAACAGCUGGAAACGGCUGCUAAUACCCCGUAGGCUGAGGAGCGAAAGGAGGAAUCCGCCCAAGGAGGGGCUCGCGUCUGAUUAGCUAGUUGGUGAGGUAAUAGCUUACCAAGGCCGUGAUCAGUAGCUGGUCCGAGAGGAUGAUCAGCCACACUGGGACUGAGACAAGGCCCAGACUCCUACGGGAGGCAGCAGUGGGGAAUUUUCCGCAAUGGGCGAAAGCCUGACGGAGCAAUGCCGCGUGGAGGUAAAAGGCCUACGGGUCAUGAACUUCUUUUCCUGGAGAAGAAACAAUGACGGUAGCUGGGGAAUAAGCAUCGGCUAACUCUGUG
This 437-nucleotide ribosomal RNA is filed under the name uncultured bacterium. Its description in RNAcentral is "partial 16S ribosomal RNA". It matches the Rfam family "Bacterial small subunit ribosomal RNA", at positions 28 to 507 of the family's 1533-position model. The record is from RNAcentral.